RNAcentral lists this ribosomal RNA (460 nucleotides) under Metellina segmentata (autumn spider). RNAcentral's name for it is "partial 16S ribosomal RNA". It matches the Rfam family "Bacterial large subunit ribosomal RNA", at positions 1816 to 2600 of the family's 2925-position model. The record is from RNAcentral. Lineage: Eukaryota; Metazoa; Arthropoda; Arachnida; Araneae; Tetragnathidae.
UGCUUAAAGAACAAAUUUUAAGUAAAACCUGCUCAAUGAAUAAAUAUUAUUUAUUUACAUAAAUAGCCGCAGAAUUUUAACUGUGCUAAGGUAGCAUAAUCAUUUGUCUUUUAAUUAAAGACUAGAAUGAACGGUUUAACAUUUUAUUUACUUUUUUAAAUAUAAUCAAUUUAAAUUAUAUUAAAUAUAAAAAUAUAUUUAUAAAAAAAUUAGACGACAAGACCCCGUCGAACUUCACUUUAGUUUAACUGGGGCAGUUAUUUAAUUAAAAUUUUAAUUAAAAUAAACCUAUAAAAGAUCCAAUAAAAUUGAUUAUUUGAUUAAGUUACCGCGGGGAUAACAGCGUAAUAAUUUUUUAAAGCUCUUAUUUAAAAUUUAGAUUGCGACCUCGAUGUUGAAUAAUUCUCUUUUUUACGAAAAAGUAUUAAAAGUAGGUCUGUUCGACCUUUAAAAUUUUACA